This 80-nucleotide transfer RNA is filed under the name Paracoccaceae bacterium Fryx2. Its description in RNAcentral is "tRNA-Leu". The record is from RNAcentral. Lineage: Bacteria; Pseudomonadati; Pseudomonadota; Alphaproteobacteria; Rhodobacterales; Paracoccaceae.
GGCGCGGUGUACCCCGAUUGGGAAGGGGGCUGUUCGAGAGAUCGAAGACCUGACGCUGGUUCGAGUCCAGCCCCGCGCCA